This 734-nucleotide ribosomal RNA is filed under the name uncultured fungus. RNAcentral describes it as "eukaryotic LSU rRNA". The stretch from base 1 to 241 matches the Rfam family "Eukaryotic small subunit ribosomal RNA", at positions 1593 to 1831 of the family's 1831-position model. Lineage: Eukaryota; Fungi. The record is from RNAcentral.
UUGCUCUUCAACGAGGAAUACCUAGUAAGCGUGAGUCGUCAGCUCGCGUUGAUUACGUCCCUGCCCUUUGUACACACCGCCCGUCGCUACUACCGAUUGAAUGGCUUAGUGAGGUCUCCGGAUUGGCCGCGGGGAGCCGGCAACGGCACCCCAUGGCCGAGAAGUUGAUCAAACUUGGUCAUUUAGAGGAAGUAAAAGUCGUAACAAGGUUUCCGUAGGUGAACCUGCGGAAGGAUCAUUAGUGAACUUGGCCCCGGCUCGCCGGUCAGCCUUACACAUCCAAACCUCUUGUGAACCGUGGCCCUCGGGCCGUAUCCAAACAUCUGUGUGAUGAACGUGAUCAAUCUUAAUAAACAAAACUUUCAACAACGGAUCUCUUGGCUCUCGCAUCGAUGAAGAACGCAGCGAAAUGCGAUAAGUAAUGUGAAUUGCAGAAUUCAGUGAAUCAUCGAAUCUUUGAACGCACCUUGCGCCCUCUGGUAUUCCGGAGGGCAUGCCUGUUUGAGUGUCAUGAAGCCUCAACCAGAUCGGGUUUCCGAUCGGGUUGGAUCUGGGCGUCUGCCGUUUGGCUCGCCUCAAAAGCUUCAGUGGGAUAAGCCCAAUGCUUGCGUAUUAAGUUUCGCUCGCACGAAGGCCGGACGCCCGCUCACAACCGCCCUCGGGCAACACUCUGACUCUGACCUCAAAUCAGGUAGGACUACCCGCUGAACUUAAGCAUAUCAAUAAGCGGAGGA